Molecule: ribosomal RNA, 405 nt
Filed under: uncultured bacterium
Lineage: Bacteria
Description: partial 16S ribosomal RNA
Rfam family: Bacterial small subunit ribosomal RNA
Source: RNAcentral
GACGAACGCUGGCGGCGUGCUUAACACAUGCAAGUCGAACGAGUGGCGAACGGGUGAGUAACACGUGGGUGAACUGCCUUGCACUUCGGGAUAAGCCUGGGAAAAUGGGUCUAAUACCGGAUAGUGCAAGAUGAGCUCGCGUCCUAUCAGCUUGUGGGUGGGGUAAUGGCUACCAAGGCGGGACGGGUAGCCGGCCUGAGAGGGUGUACGGCCACAUUGGGACUGGGAUACGGCCCAGACUCCUAGGGGAGGCAGCGGUGGGGAAUAUUGCACAAUGGGCGGAAGCCUGAUGCAGCCAUGCCGCGUGUGUGAAGAAGGUCUUCGGAUUGUAAAGCACGUUAAGUUGGGAGGCGUUACCGACAGAAUAAGCACCGGCUAACUCUGUGCCAGCAGCCGCGGUAAUAC